Molecule: ribosomal RNA, 433 nt
Filed under: uncultured bacterium
Lineage: Bacteria
Description: partial 16S ribosomal RNA
Rfam family: Bacterial small subunit ribosomal RNA
Source: RNAcentral
AACGAACGCUGGCGGCAUGCCUAACACAUGCAAGUCGAACGAGACCUUCGGGUCUAGUGGCGCACGGGUGCGUAACGCGUGGGAACCUGCCCUUAGGUUCGGAAUAACUCCCCGAAAGGGGUGCUAAUACCGGAUAAUGUCUUCGGACCAAAGAUUUAUCGCCUUUGGAUGGGCCCGCGUUGGAUUAGCUAGUUGGUAGGGUAAAAGCCUACCAAGGCGACGAUCCAUAGCUGGUCUGAGAGGAUGAUCAGCCACACUGGGACUGAGACACGGCCCAGACUCCUACGCGAGGCAGCAGUGGGGAAUAUUGGACAAUGGGCGAAAGCCUGAUCCAGCAAUGCCGCGUGAGUGAUGAAGGACUUAGGGUUGUAAAGCUCUUUUACCCGGGAUGAUAAUGACAGUACCGGGAGAAUAAGCUCCGGCUAACUACGUG